Molecule: long non-coding RNA, 203 nt
Filed under: Arabidopsis lyrata
Lineage: Eukaryota; Viridiplantae; Streptophyta; Magnoliopsida; Brassicales; Brassicaceae
Description: long non-coding RNA (ALYR_LNC003433)
Source: RNAcentral
AAUCAAUUCUUUUAAACUUCUCUGCAUGCACCACUAUAUUUCUGAAACAUUGUCUUGGAUAAUUUGUAUGGGUAACCAAUUUCUUUUCUAUAUUUUUGUUUUGCAGGUUCAAGAUUGUCACCAUCUAAAUCUAGUUCAUGAGAAUGUUUUUUAGAUGAAUAUAUUAAUCUUUAUAAAUAUAAAAAAGUGAGAUUUUUCAAAUA